GGGCCUGUAGCUCAGCUAGGUAGAGCGUCCGACUCUUAAUCGGACGGCCAAGGGUUCGAAUCCCCUCAGGCCCGCCA
RNAcentral lists this transfer RNA (77 nucleotides) under Candidatus Methanomethylophilus alvi Mx1201. RNAcentral's name for it is "tRNA-Lys (CTT) (tRNA-Lys-CTT-1-1)". It matches the Rfam family "tRNA". From Rfam's summary of the family: Transfer RNA (tRNA) molecules are approximately 80 nucleotides in length. Lineage: Archaea; Methanobacteriati; Thermoplasmatota; Thermoplasmata; Methanomassiliicoccales; Methanomethylophilaceae. The record is from RNAcentral. RNAcentral also lists the same sequence under 5 other names.